UACGGAGGGGGCGAGCGUUAUUCGGAAUCAUUGGGCGUAAAGGGCAGGUAGGCGGCCGCGCACGUCCUUUGUGAAAGCCCUCGGCUCAACCGAGGAAUAGCAAGGGAAACGACGAGGCUUGAGUCCGGGAGAGGAGAGUGGAAUUCCCAGUGUAGCGGUGAAAUGCGUAGAUAUUGGGAGGAACACCGGUGGCGAAGGCGGCUCUCUGGACCGGCACUGACGCUGAGCUGCGAAAGCUAGGGGAGCAAACGGG
Molecule: ribosomal RNA, 253 nt
Filed under: uncultured bacterium
Lineage: Bacteria
Description: partial 16S ribosomal RNA
Rfam family: Bacterial small subunit ribosomal RNA
Source: RNAcentral